GAUGAACGCUGGCGGCGUGCCUAAUACAUGCAAGUCGAGCGAACGGACGAGAAGCUUGCUUCUCUGAUGUUAGCGGCGGACGGGUGAGUAACACGUGGAUAACCUACCUAUAAGACUGGGAUAACUUCGGGAAACCGGAGCUAAUACCGGAUAAUAUUUUGAACCGCAUGGUUCAAAAGUGAAAGACGGUCUUGCUGUCACUUAUAGAUGGAUCCGCGCUGCAUUAGCUAGUUGGUAAGGUAACGGCUUACCAAGGCAACGAUGCAUAGCCGACCUGAGAGGGUGAUGCGCCACCCUGGAACUGAGGCACGGUCCCGACUCCUACGGGAGGCAGCAGUAGGGAAUCUUACGCAAAGGGCGAAAGCCUGACGGAGCAACGCCGCGUGAGUGAUGAAGGUCUUCGGAUCGUAAAACUCUGUUAUUAGGGAAGAACAUAUGUGUAAGUAACUGUGCACAUCUUGACGGUACCUAAUCAGAAAGCCACGGCUAACUACGUG
Molecule: ribosomal RNA, 497 nt
Filed under: uncultured bacterium
Lineage: Bacteria
Description: partial 16S ribosomal RNA
Rfam family: Bacterial small subunit ribosomal RNA
Source: RNAcentral